AUUGAACGCUGGCGGCAGGCCUAACACAUGCAAGUCGAACGGAGUGGCGGACGGGUGAGUAAUGUCUGUGAAACUGCCCGAUGGAGGGGGAUACCUACUGGAAACGGUAGCUAAUAACGCAUACCCUCGGAUGUGCCCCGAUGGGAUUAGCUUGUAGGUGAGGUAACGGCCUACCAAGGCGACGCUCCGUAACUGGUCUGAGAGGAUGAUCAGUCACACUGGAACUGAGACACGGUCCAGACUCCUACGGGAGGCAGCAGUGGGGAAUAUUGGACAAUGGGCGAAAGCCUGAUCCAGCCAUGCCGCGUGUGUGAAGAAGGUCUUCGGAUUGUAAAGCACUUUAAGUUGGGAGGCGUUACCAACAGAAUAAGCACCGGCUAACUUCGUGCCAGCAGCCGCGGUAAUAC
RNAcentral lists this ribosomal RNA (407 nucleotides) under uncultured bacterium. RNAcentral's name for it is "partial 16S ribosomal RNA". It matches the Rfam family "Bacterial small subunit ribosomal RNA", at positions 30 to 526 of the family's 1533-position model. The record is from RNAcentral.